RNAcentral lists this ribosomal RNA (253 nucleotides) under uncultured bacterium. Its description in RNAcentral is "partial 16S ribosomal RNA". It matches the Rfam family "Bacterial small subunit ribosomal RNA", at positions 524 to 776 of the family's 1533-position model. The record is from RNAcentral.
UACGAAGGGGGCUAGCGUUGCUCGGAAUCACUGGGCGUAAAGGGUGCGUAGGCGGGUCUUUAAGUCAGUGGUGAAAUCUUCGAGCUUAACUCGGAAACUGCCUUUGAUACUAUCUAUCUUGAAUAUUGUGGAGGUAAGCGGAAUAUGUCAUGUAGCGGUGAAAUGCUUAGAUAUGACAUAGAACACCUAUUGCGAAGGCAGCUUACUACGCAUAUAUUGACGCUGAGGCACGAAAGCGUGGGGAUCAAACAGG